Molecule: ribosomal RNA, 523 nt
Filed under: uncultured organism
Description: eukaryotic LSU rRNA
Rfam family: 5.8S ribosomal RNA (bases 187-340)
Source: RNAcentral
UCCGUAGGUGAACCUGCGGAGGGAUCAUUACAAGUGACCCCGGUCUAACCACCGGGAUGUUCAUAACCCUUUGUUGUCCGACUCUGUUGCCUCCGGGGCGACCCUGCCCUCGGGCGGGGGCUCCGGGUGGACACUUCAAACUCUUGCGUAACUUUGCAGUCUGAGUAAACUUAAUUAAUAAAUUAAAACUUUUAACAACGGAUCUCUUGGUUCUGGCAUCGAUGAAGAACGCAGCGAAAUGCGAUAAGUAAUGUGAAUUGCAGAAUUCAGUGAAUCAUCGAAUCUUUGAACGCACAUUGCGCCCCCUGGUAUUCCGGGGGGCAUGCCUGUUCGAGCGUCAUUUCACCACUCAAGCCUCGCUUGGUAUUGGGCAACGCGGUCCGCCGCGUGCCUCAAAUCGACCGGCUGGGUCUUCUGUCCCCUAAGCGUUGUGGAAACUAUUCGCUAAAGGGUGCUCGGGAGGCUACGCCGUAAAACAAACCCAUUUCUAAGGUUGACCUCGGAUCAGGUAGGGAUACCCGCU